GAUGAACGCUGGCGGCGUGCCUAAUACAUGCAAGUCGAGCGAACAGACGAGGAGCUUGCUCCUCUGACGUUAGCGGCGGACGGGUGAGUAACACGUGGAUAACCUACCUAUAAGACUGGGAUAACUUCGGGAAACCGGAGCUAAUACCGGAUAACAUGUUGAACCGCAUGGUUCAACAGUGAAAGACGGUCUUGCUGUCACUUAUAGAUGGAUCCGCGCCGCAUUAGCUAGUUGGUAAGGUAACGGCUUACCAAGGCAACGAUGCGUAGCCGACCUGAGAGGGUGAUCGGACACACUGGAACUGAGACACGGUCCAGACUCCUACGGGAGGCAGCAGUAGGGAAUCUUCCGCAAUGGGCGAAAGCCUGACGGAGCAACGCCGCGUGAGUGAUGAAGGUCUUCGGAUCGUAAAACUCUGUUAUUAGGGAAGAACAAAUGUGUAAGUAACUAUGCACGUCUUGACGGUACCUAAUCAGAAAGCCACGGCUAACUACGUG
RNAcentral lists this ribosomal RNA (497 nucleotides) under uncultured bacterium. RNAcentral describes it as "partial 16S ribosomal RNA". It matches the Rfam family "Bacterial small subunit ribosomal RNA", at positions 28 to 507 of the family's 1533-position model. The record is from RNAcentral.